UCAUAUGGUGGGCCAUUCAACUGUCAUUUCGGGUGUCGCGCGGUUCGUGCAUUUUCCGUUGCGUUAAUUUGUACAAAUUUCAUAAUAUACACUUAUAUAUUUUAUAGUUAAAUUCCGUGUGUCCCUUUACGACAAUUUAUCCUUGCUAGUUCCCAUCCCAAGUGACAAUCCAUUUGCUUAUGUAAAAGUCUUUCAACACAUUCGGACUAGUCAAAUCUUACUCGAAGAUGGGAAAUGUGCUUGCCGCUUCGAAGCCCCCACCGCCUCUGUUUGACAGCAAGGUCGACAUACCGGAACCGGUGCCCUCGGCCAGCUUAUCUACAAAAGAGACUGCUGCGAGCGGUGAAGACACCGUGAAUCCGGGGACAAUUGAAGAUUUACAUAAAAAGUGUAAAGAUGUCAUGCCCGUGCCAUUCGAAGGUGCAAAGAUGAUGCUGAACAAGGGGCUCAGCAAUCACUUCCAAGUUUCGCACACACUUAACUUAUGCUCGACAAGCCCGUCUGGGUACAGAUUCGGUGCAACAUACGUUGGGACAAAACAGUUCACGCCUAAUGAAGCUUAUCCCGUAUUGCUAGGCGACAUCGAUCCAUCUGGAAACCUAAACGCAAAUCUCAUUCACCAAUUCUCACCACAACUUCGUCUAAAGUUCGCAUCUCAGAUCCAACAAAGCAAAGUCACAGCAGCGCAACUUACAACCGAUUAUCGUGGCAAGGAUUUCACCGCGUCCCUUACAGUGGUCAACCCCAACAUUAUCACCAACUCUGGGGUCGUGGUGGCUCACUAUUUGCAAUCGGUCUCAGAAAAAUGUGCCCUUGGCGGGGAAAUCGCUUAUCAGUACGGACCGAAUGUUCCAGGUGGGAAAGUCGCUGUUGUAUCAGCAGCGGGACGAUACGGAGAUGAGAAAUCUACUUGGUCGGGCACUGUGGGUGCCGGGGGUGUUCAUAUUUGUUAUUACCAAAAGGCUAGUGAGCAAUUACAGGUUGGCGUCGAGUUCGAAACGAGCUUCCGACUGCAGGAGUCCGUUGCAUCUGUCGGCUAUCAAGUGGAUUUACCUAAAGCCGACCUGGUAUUCCGAGGGAUGGUCGACUCAAAUUGGAAUGUCAGCGGCGUGUUAGAGAAACGCCUUCAACCUCUGCCAUUUUCGUUCGCUCUGAGCGGCCGAUUAAAUCACGUCAAGACCCAAUUUCGGCUGGGAUGUGGUCUGAUAAUUGGCUAAAUUCCAUGCGUUAUGUGGACCGACACUCGCAGCAUUCAUUAUUGAGUUUCCUUUUUUCUGAAAUUCACGCGCAUCCACCCCUCCUUCCUGAAAUCAUUAGUAAAGCAAAUAACUUCCACUUGCUGCAUUUAUUUUCUUUUUAUCUUGAUAUGUAACAAUUAUGUGGUACUUUCAGCAAAGACGUGAAAUAAAAUAUGAUCCUGUUAGUAUAGUGAAAGUAGAAUAACUUUAAACUGAAGUUUGAUGAAGUUUAUUGUUCUUUGUCAAAUAAAUAUGGAGCGUUAUGCGGCUCCAAUUGACCUAA
Molecule: unclassified non-coding RNA, 1521 nt
Filed under: Hermetia illucens (black soldier fly)
Lineage: Eukaryota; Metazoa; Arthropoda; Insecta; Diptera; Stratiomyidae
Description: mitochondrial import receptor subunit TOM40 homolog 1-like, transcript variant X1
Source: RNAcentral